UUUGGUUUUCCAAAGAACAAAUUUUCGGUGCCUUUUGUCUCUACUUUGACUCACUUCAAUCAAAUCAAAUUGAGCUCAAAACUAGUAAGACACGAAAACCUCGUACCUCAUACCUCAUACCUCAUACCUCAUACCUCAUACCUCAUACCCAUGAAUUCUUGUUCUUGUUCUUCAACUAUGAUCCUCUUCGAUUCACGCCCUUGUUUCAAAUUCAAACCAUUUCUCACCAAUUCACCUUCCUCCUUUGUAAUCAAACACAAACCCAACUUCAAAUUCAAAACCGAUCAUAA
RNAcentral lists this long non-coding RNA (290 nucleotides) under Trifolium pratense (red clover). Its description in RNAcentral is "long non-coding RNA (TPRA_LNC005080)". The record is from RNAcentral. Lineage: Eukaryota; Viridiplantae; Streptophyta; Magnoliopsida; Fabales; Fabaceae.